This 914-nucleotide ribosomal RNA is filed under the name uncultured bacterium. Its description in RNAcentral is "bacterial SSU rRNA". It matches the Rfam family "Bacterial small subunit ribosomal RNA", at positions 8 to 916 of the family's 1533-position model. The record is from RNAcentral.
AGAGUUUGAUCAUGGCUCAGGAUGAACGCUAGCGGGAGGCUUAACACAUGCAAGUCGAGGGGCAGCACGGGGUAGCAAUACUCUGGUGGCGACCGGCAAACAGGUGAGUAACGCGUAUGUAACCUACCCUGUACAGGGGGAUAACCCGGAGAAAUUCGGACUAAUAUCCCAUAACAAUAUUCAGAGGCAUCUUUGGAUAUUUAAAGUUCCGGCGGUACGGGAUGGGCGUGCGUAACAUUAGCUAGUUGGUAAGGUAACGGCCUACCAAGGCUUUGAUGUUUAGGGGUCCUGAGAGGGUGGUCCCCCACACUGGUACUGAGACACGGACCAGACUCCUACGGGAGGCAGCAGUGAGGAAUAUUGGUCAAUGGGCGCAAGCCUGAACCAGCCAUCCCGCGUGCAGGAAGACGGCCCUAUGGGUUGUAAACUGCUUUUCCAGGGAGAGAAACUUGCGCACGUGUUGCGCAAUUGACGGUACCCUGGGAAUAAGCAUCGGCUAACUCCGUGCCAGCAGCCGCGGUAAUACGGAGGAUGCGAGCGUUAUCCGGAUUCAUUGGGUUUAAAGGGUGCGUAGGCGGACUAUUAAGUCAGUGGUGAAAUCCUGCAGCUUAACUGCAGAACUGCCAUUGAUACUGAUAGCCUUGAGUUUGGUUAAGGUAGGCGGAAUGUGUAAUGUAGCGGUGAAAUGCUUAGAUAUUACACAGAACACCAAUUGCGUAGGCAGCUUACUGAGCCGACACUGACGCUGAGGCACGAAAGCGUGGGGAUCGAACAGGAUUAGAUACCCUGGUAGUCCACGCCGUAAACUAUGAUUACUCGCUGUUGGCGAUACACUGUCAGCGGCUAAGCAAAAGCAAUAAGUAAUCCACCUGGGGAGUACGGCCGCAAGGGUUGAAACUCAAAGGAAUUGACGG